Molecule: non-coding RNA, 45 nt
Filed under: Schistosoma haematobium
Lineage: Eukaryota; Metazoa; Platyhelminthes; Trematoda; Strigeidida; Schistosomatidae
Source: RNAcentral
AUUCAACUGACGAGUCUCAAAUAGGAAAAAACACGUGUCCUGGAU